Mesocricetus auratus (golden hamster) is the source of this 765-nucleotide long non-coding RNA. RefSeq lists it as uncharacterized. The transcript has 2 exons. The record is from RefSeq and is a predicted model, not a curated record. NCBI's taxonomy places the organism in Eukaryota, Metazoa, Chordata, Mammalia, Rodentia, Cricetidae.
GAGAGAGAAUAUGUAUACAUGAAGUUGGGAGGAAAAAGCUAGUGGGACUAUAGGAGAGGAGGAAUUGGAGGAAAAGGAGUUGAGAAUGGAUUUCAUCCAAACAAGUAAUGUGUGUAUAAAUAUCAAAUAAAAUAUUUUUAAAAGAUAAAAGAAAUGCAAGGUGGAAAAAUAUAGCUUGGAAAAAAAACCAUCCAGAAGCACACAGGCUGGGGGUAUAGCCCAUCAGCGGAACAGUGUGCUGGGCAUGCUUCAGGGAGCUCAAUCCCUAUCACCAGUCGGGUGACUCUGAUCUGCAGUUACUUGCUGAUUGCAGUCAUUGGCACAUCAUUUUUCUUCUGAAAGCAGAGCCCUCGGGCAAACAGCGUCACUCUGGAGUUAGGAAAUGUGGAGUCAAGGCCGCACUCAGACCUGCGUUUUGAAAAUCCUUGGUGACUGGUACAGGCACAGGAACUGUUGCCGGUCGAGUCGUGUGAGUUCAACUGGGGAAACCUGAACGGUGGUCCCCUUUCUAACCCAGGAGUGGAGUCACGUGAUGAGACCUCGCCCCGCUUGUGAGAACACUCCAAGAGAACAAGAAUUCUGGCGGCCUCAGUUUCUUCAAACCACAGAAUUGUCCUUGGAGCGUGGUCUCGUGCUCCCCUCAGGUGGAGCGGAUAGGAGUGACUUUACUUGAUCAGAUCGCUCAUUAUUGCUCUCCGCUGUUAUUAAUUAAAGAUUUAAGCUACCCUUUAUAAUCCUCUGUGGAAAAACACGUUUUUUUAACCA